This 337-nucleotide long non-coding RNA is filed under the name Rattus norvegicus (Norway rat). RNAcentral's name for it is "long non-coding RNA NONRATT014612". The record is from RNAcentral. Lineage: Eukaryota; Metazoa; Chordata; Mammalia; Rodentia; Muridae.
AACUUCAGGCUGCUCAGAGGAAGCCAGUGCAAGUCACCUGGGCGCUAGCGCUGCUGUCUCAGGCUCUCCCGCUGCAGGGAGAGCGGCACUCGCUGGUCUGGAUGUGGUUGGAUGUAGGGGGGCUCCGCAGCAGGGUUGUCGUGGUGGUGGCAAGCGCUGCAACAGGUAGACGGCGAGAGGACGACCCUGGCCGAGGCAGCUAUGGAAACCAAAGGCUACCACAGUCUCCCUGAAGGCCUAGACAUGGAAAGGCGCUGGAGUCAAGUGUCUCAGACCUUGGAGCGUUCUUCACUUGGACCUGCAGAGAGGACCACUGAGAACAACUACAUGGAGAUUG